GACGAACGCUGGCGGCGUGCUUAACACAUGCAAGUCGAACGGAAAGGCCCUGCUUUUGUGGGGUGCUCGAGUGGCGAACGGGUGAGUAACACGUGAGUAACCUGCCCUUGACUUUGGGAUAACUUCAGGAAACUGGGGCUAAUACCGGAUAGGAGCUCCUGCUGCAUGGUGGGGGUUGGAAAGUUUCGGCGGUUGGGGAUGGACUCGCGGCUUAUCAGCUUGUUGGUGGGGUAGUGGCUUACCAAGGCUUUGACGGGUAGCCGGCCUGAGAGGGUGACCGGCCACAUUGGGACUGAGAUACGGCACAGACUCCUACGGGAGGCAGCGGUGGAGAGUAUUGCACAGUGGGCGGAAGCCUGAUGCGACGACGCCGCGUGCGGGAUGACGGCCUUCGGGUUGUAAACCGCUUUCGCCUGUGACGAGGCGUGAGUGACGGUAAUGGGUAAAGAAGCACCGGCUAACUACGUG
RNAcentral lists this ribosomal RNA (468 nucleotides) under uncultured bacterium. Its description in RNAcentral is "partial 16S ribosomal RNA". It matches the Rfam family "Bacterial small subunit ribosomal RNA", at positions 28 to 507 of the family's 1533-position model. The record is from RNAcentral.